UACGUAGGGGGCAAGCGUUGUCCGGAAUCAUUGGGCGUAAAGAGCGCGUAGGCGGCCCUGUAAGUCCGCUGUGAAAGUCAAGGGCUCAACCCUUGAAUGCCGGUGGAUACUGCAGGGCUAGAGUCCGGAAGAGGCGAGUGGAAUUCCCGGUGUAGCGGUGGAAAUGCGCAGAUAUCGGGAGGAACACCAAUGGCGAAGGCGGCUCACUGGUCCGGUACUGACGCUGAGGUGCGAAAGCGUGGGAGCAACAGG
RNAcentral lists this ribosomal RNA (252 nucleotides) under uncultured bacterium. RNAcentral describes it as "partial 16S ribosomal RNA". It matches the Rfam family "Bacterial small subunit ribosomal RNA", at positions 524 to 776 of the family's 1533-position model. The record is from RNAcentral.